RNAcentral lists this ribosomal RNA (253 nucleotides) under uncultured bacterium. RNAcentral describes it as "partial 16S ribosomal RNA". It matches the Rfam family "Bacterial small subunit ribosomal RNA", at positions 524 to 776 of the family's 1533-position model. The record is from RNAcentral.
UACGGAGGGUGCAAGCGUUAUCCGGAUUCACUGGGUUUAAAGGGUGCGUAGGCGGCUUGGUAAGUCCGUGGUGAAAUCUCUAAGCUUAACUUGGAAACUGCCAUGGAUACUAUUAGUCUUGAAUAUUGUGGAGGUUAGCGGAAUAUGUCAUGUAGCGGUGAAAUGCAUAGAUAUGACAUAGAACACCAAUUGCGAAGGCAGCUGGCUACACAAAUAUUGACGCUGAUGCACGAAAGCGUGGGGAGCAAACAGG